GCCGCGCUUNNGCGCCGCUACNGGGCGCGUCCNUUNGCCAUNCNGGNUGCGCAACUGUUGGGAAGGGCNAUCGGUGCGGGCCUNUUCGCUAUUACGCCAGCUGGCGAAAGGGGGAUGUGCUGCAAGGCGAUUAAGUUGGGUAACGNCAGGGUUUUCCCAGUCACGACGUUGUAAAACGACGGCCAGUGAAUUGUAAUACGACUCACUAUAGGGCGAAUUGGGCCCGACGUCGCAUGCUCCCGGCCGCCAUGGCGGCCGCGGGAAUUCGAUUAGAGUUUGAUCCUGGCUCAGGAUGAACGCNGGCGGCGUGCUUAACACAUGCAAGUCGAACGGGGUGCUCAUGACGGAGGAUUCGUCCAACGGAUUGAGUUACCUAGUGGCGGACGGGUGAGUAACGCGUGAGGAACCUGCCUUGGAGAGGGGAAUAACACUCCGAAAGGAGUGCUAAUACCGCAUGAUGCAGUUGGGUCGCAUGGCUCUGACUGCCAAAGAUUUAUCGCUCUGAGAUGGCCUCGCGUCUGAUUAGCUAGUAGGCGGGGUAACGGCCCACCUAGGCGACGAUCAGUAGCCGGACUGAGAGGUUGACCGGCCACAUUGGGACUGAGACACGGCCCAGACUCCUACGGGAGGCAGCAGUGGGGAAUAUUGGGCAAUGGGCGCAAGCCUGACCCAGCAACGCCGCGUGAAGGAAGAAGGCUUUCGGGUUGUAAACUUCUUUUGUCGGGGACGAAACAAAUGACGGUACCCGACGAAUAAGCCACGGCUAACUACGUGCCAGCAGCCGCGGUAAUACGUAGGUGGCAAGCGUUAUCCGGAUUUACUGGGUGUAAAGGGCGUGUAGGCGGGAUUGCAAGUCAGAUGAAUCACUAGUGAAUUCGCGGCCGCCUGCAGGUCGACCAUAUGGGAGAGCUCCC
RNAcentral lists this ribosomal RNA (914 nucleotides) under uncultured Flavonifractor sp. RNAcentral describes it as "bacterial SSU rRNA". The stretch from base 265 to 914 matches the Rfam family "Bacterial small subunit ribosomal RNA", at positions 1 to 661 of the family's 1533-position model. Lineage: Bacteria; Bacillati; Bacillota; Clostridia; Eubacteriales; Oscillospiraceae. The record is from RNAcentral.